Molecule: non-coding RNA, 76 nt
Submitted as: unclassified sequences
Source: Rfam
CCUAUUGAGUGUUAUAUCAAAUGAUAGUAGAAGUAAGGCUUGCUUCGCUUUGAGGUCAGACACAGUGAUGUAGGAA